Molecule: ribosomal RNA, 187 nt
Filed under: uncultured bacterium
Lineage: Bacteria
Description: partial 16S ribosomal RNA
Rfam family: Bacterial small subunit ribosomal RNA
Source: RNAcentral
CGCCUUCAUGAAGCUGGAAUUGCUAGUAAUGGCAGGUCAGCAUACUGCCGUGAAUACGUUCCCGGGCCUUGUACACACCGCCCGUCACACCAUGAGAGUUGGAAAUACCCGAAGCCUGUGAGCUAACUUUUAGAGGCAGCAGUCGAAGGUAGAGCCAAUGAUUGGGGUGAAGUCGUAACAAGGUAUC